CAAUAGCGUAUAUUAAAGUUGUUGCAGUUAAAAAGCUCGUAGUUGGAUUUCUGGUGGGAGCGAUCGGUCUGGCGCUUAGCGCGAGUACUUGCAUCGUCUCCGGCCAUCCUUGGGGAGAGUCUGUCUGGCAUUAAGUUGUCGGGCAGAGGAUCCUCAUCGUUUACUGUGAAAAAAUUAGAGUGUUCAAAGCAGGCUUAUGCCGUUGAAUAUAUUAGCAUGGAUUAAUAAGAUAGGACUUUGGUACUAUUUUGUUGGUUUGCGCACCAAAGUAAUGAUUAAUAGGGACAGUUGGGGGUAUUCGUAUUCCGUUGUCAGAGGUGAAAUUCUUGGAUUUACGGAAGACGAACUACUGCGAAAGCAUUUACCAAGGAUGUUUUCAUUAA
This 383-nucleotide ribosomal RNA is filed under the name uncultured eukaryote. RNAcentral's name for it is "partial 18S ribosomal RNA". It matches the Rfam family "Eukaryotic small subunit ribosomal RNA", at positions 592 to 976 of the family's 1831-position model. The record is from RNAcentral.